UGUCAUGGGCGUAGCUGAUGCAGCACGCGCGUGAGUGAUGAGGCCUUCGGGUUGUAACCUCUGUUAUCAGGACGAUAUGACCGUACCUGUAGAUAAGCUCCGGCUAACUUCGUGACAGCAGCCGCGGUAAUAGUA
Molecule: ribosomal RNA, 135 nt
Filed under: uncultured bacterium
Lineage: Bacteria
Description: partial 16S ribosomal RNA
Source: RNAcentral